CCUUAUUUCUUGUUCCGGAUAGUCCUUGCUACCGAUCGUUGGGGUUUUUUUAGUGCAGGGGGAUUUUGGAGAGGUCGCUUGUGCCCACUCUGCGCUCUCAGCUUGGCUAGAAGAGCCAUUCAAGGAUCAAUAUGGAUUUUGGCUCAUGUUUUCUGUGCACUACUUCCAAACCAGCGAUGGGAGAGCACUGAAUUCAGAGUAAAUGGAAGUGUGAUGGAAAGGAAGACAACCCACUCCACCUGGAAAAGCCGCCUAGAUUUCCCAGUAGUGAUGUAUGGAAGUGAGAGCUGGACCAUAAAGAAGGCUGAUCGCUGAAGAAUUGAUGCUUUUGAAUUAUGGUGCUGGAGGAGAAUCUUGAGAGUCCCAUGGACUGCAAGAAGAUCAAACCUCUCCAUUCUGAAGGAAAUCAGUCCUGAGUGCUCACUGGAAGGACAGAUCGUGAAGCUGAGGCUCCAAUACUUUGGCCACCUCAUGAGAAGAGAAGACUCCCUGGAAAAGACCCUGAUGUUGGGAAAGAUUGAGGGCACAAGGAGAAAGGGACGACAGAGGACGAGAUGGUUGGAUAGUGUUCUCGAAGCUACAAACAUGAGUCUGACCAAACUGCGGGAGGCAGUGGAAGACAGGAGUGCCUGGCGUGCUCUGGUCCAGGGGGUCACGAAGAGUCGGACACGACUAAAUGACUAAACAACAACAAAGCCGCCUAGAUCAUGGUUCUAGCUAUGGAAAGGUAGCAUAUAAAUAAGAUGAUGAUGAUGAUAUACACAGGCCUCUAAUGCAAAUGAAUUGCAGAAGGAAGCUGGAUCUCAGUGGAAAGUUGGAGGGGAGAUUUUUUGGGGGUGCAGAUUUUGCCAGCAUUCCACAGAUCCUUACUGCUAUUCUUGCUGCCAAGUCGUAAUUCCCCAUCAUGCAGGGAAGAAGACGACCGACGAGUUUCACACAUACUCCUCCGACUCCUGCUCCCCACUCGAAAUAAAAUACAAAAGAGGGGUGCUUUCUCCCCCUCCUUGUUCUGAUGUAACCCCCACCUCUCAAAUUUUUGCAGAACAUUCAGAAUUUCAAACGUUGGCGCAACAAUGUCCCAAACUUCCUGCUUCUCAGUACUGAGCC
Long non-coding RNA from Podarcis raffonei (Aeolian wall lizard), 1107 nucleotides. RefSeq lists it as uncharacterized. The record is from RefSeq and is a predicted model, not a curated record. The transcript has 3 exons. NCBI's taxonomy places the organism in Eukaryota, Metazoa, Chordata, Lepidosauria, Squamata, Lacertidae.